AUACCCGCCCCCUCCCGAGCCCCCCGCGAUGGCCGACACGGGGGUGUGCGGAGAGCGGGGGGCCCGUCUGCUCCCCGCGGCGGAGGGGAGAGGGAUGUGCAGCAAAACGCUGCCUCUGGGACAGGUGCCAGCUCCCAGACAAAAGGAGUGGAAUAGGCUGUAAAGAGGGAGUGGGGGAAAUUAAUAGCCGGCAAAAAAUAGGAGCCGAGAGCCUCGGGAGGAGCCCUGGCGGGAGCGCGCUGCUUCGCCGGCCUCUUCGCCGGGUAUUCCCGAGCUGCAGGGCGGAAGGAGAAAGUUGUGGCAUACUUUUUAUUCCCCCGUCUUCUCUUCAGACGUUGGAAAGCGUGAAGGGAGGGUGGAGGGGGCGCCUUUUUUUUUUUUUUUUUUUCCCACCCUCCUCUUACUGAAUUAUUCAUAGUGUCAGCGGUGAAGCCGGGACUAUUAGCAUGCAUCAGACAUGCUGUUUGUCUGUUUGCUAACAUUCUUCAUUCAAGACUUGUUAACUACCAGACAAGCUUAACAUGCUUCUCUCUUUCUCCUCCCCUUCUCUCUCCCUCCCCUCUCCCUUCCCUUCCCCUCCAUGCCACCCCUCGCAGCCUCCCAUUGUUGUCGCUGGGAGCUGGCAGCAGCUGUGGCAGGGGGAGCGUGCGGAGGAGCCGCCAGCCGCCCGCUAGUGUUUCAGCAUGGAUGUAGCCCAGAUGUGUGAAAUACACAGCAGCAGAAUUUGAGUUUUGAAGUGAAAUAGUGCUUCCUUAUCUGAAGCAUCCUUCAAAAUGCAAGAUUAGAAGUUUCCUACAACGUCGUCUUCAAGACUCCCAGAAAAUUUUUCUGCAACUUGUGAUUCUACAUGAGUAUCCAGCCUUUUGCCUUGCCUGGGCUGCAAGUGUGACCCUGAGUGAAGAGGAAUUAUAUGAAUAUAUGAAUGUGUCCUGAAUAAGACUUGGUCAGAGCAGAUGGAAAUGUAGGAACUUCAAGGAGGAGUUCUCUUUUUGAAGUGAGUUUUCCUUUGGGCUCCUGCACCACGAGACAGCAGACCUUCAACUCAACCAGGGGCCAUUCUUCAUUCACCUGCUGCUUGCAUGCCUGAGAAGACAUGUAAAGGAGAACCCAACAGUGAAACUUCAGCAUUACUGUGGCUUGUAUGAAGGGAGAAGCGUGUCUUACCUACGCUGCCUGGAAAAAGAUGAUGUAGUAGCCUGGCAAAAUGAACUCAAGAAACAAGAAGAAGACACUAGAGACUGAUCUGCAAGUUGUUCAGCACUCACAGCUAUCUAAGGAGCUGAGGAUAAAGUUGGCUCUUUCCUGACUUCCACUGGAGAAAAGUGAAAAGGCAACAUCUGAAGAAGGCACUGUCAAACUCCCAUUGAUUCAGGAGAACUGAAUUACAUCCUGGGAUCUGAGUAAGCCAGAGGUUCACUGAUAAGAUGCAAACCAGAAUCAGCCUAUUGGUAGUCUUUCCAGACAUGAUUCAGAGCUAACAAGGGAGAUUGAGAAGUACCAUGACUCCAAACAGAACCAUUUUGCUGUGCAGAAUGGCAUGCAGAUGAACUAGCACAUUUCAGAAUAAGUUCAAUAGAGAACAAAGUAUUAUGUCACUGGCUGAGUAGAAGAAGAGGACCUGAUCUCUGACUACAAAAGAAAAAUAAAGAAUUGCUAAGAGUGUGGCUUUGAGAAAAAUAAGCCUGACUAUUUUAGUACUAAGAGAAAUGACCAAGUUACAAGAUGAACUAACGAAGUUAGAAGAGGAAAGAAGUGAAGAUUGGUCAUCUGUGCAAAGAAAAUGACAAGGGGUGCCCCCUGGGCUGUGGUAUGAUGGGAUAAUAACAACGGAAAGAGAAAGCUGGUGCUGUGAAUGGCCAUCUGAGAAAAUGUACAGAGAAGCUGCUGUCUGCUUUUUCACUUGCUGCCACUCACCUUAUAAUUGUUUCAGUGUGCACUGAAAUGAAGUUGAAACAUGCGUGUUUUCUCUUUCUGCAUCCCCAUAUUGAGUGUGCUAAGAGCAGUGGAAGAUCCCAUCAGUUGCCCUGAAACAUGACCUACCUACUUUGGGGUGAGAUCUGUUUUGUUGUAAAGGAUGGCUUUAGUUCUGUGUGUAUCAUGUAUUCUUGUCUUUAAUUUGCAGUUAACAAAAAAAAGUUUUGCUUGGAGAAGGCUCCAGGAAGUCCUCAUUGUGGCCUUCCAAUACUUGA
This is a non-coding RNA of Phasianus colchicus (ring-necked pheasant), 2189 nucleotides long. The record is from RefSeq and is a predicted model, not a curated record. NCBI's taxonomy places the organism in Eukaryota, Metazoa, Chordata, Aves, Galliformes, Phasianidae.